Long non-coding RNA from Planococcus citri (citrus mealybug), 6887 nucleotides. RefSeq lists it as uncharacterized. The transcript has 4 exons. NCBI's taxonomy places the organism in Eukaryota, Metazoa, Arthropoda, Insecta, Hemiptera, Pseudococcidae. The record is from RefSeq and is a predicted model, not a curated record.
CAAUACAAUGAGGAGGAUGUGCUGAUUUGGAAAAUGAAUAAAGGAAGUCGAAUUAACGCUGAUUAACGUGAUGAAAACCGUUGAGCAAAAUGUUCAGAAAAAUUUUAUCUACACUUAUUUUGCAAUUUAUUCUUAAUGUGUUAUACUGCUGUACAGUACCUAAUACUGUAAUACCUGUUACCUAAGCUUUGCUACUCUCGGGAAAAUCAAUCGUAAUGUGCCGAAACAAUCAAUUAUUCAAUUUCGAUAAGAAACAUCGUGUUUCUUUGUUCACAAACAAUUAUAUAGUGCUGGUGCAUGAUUUUGGGCGUGUGAAUUAAAAUGAAGUGGGAUCUGUAUGUCACCAUCAUGCAGUGUGUCUUGUUGGAAUUAGCAACGCAUUUGAGACAGCAUCGUUUCAUAGUGGCAGUGGUUACAAUGCCAAAAUUACCGCAGACCGCAGAGAAAAUACACUUACUUAGCUGAGAUUCUGAAUCAAACAACUGGUUGCCUUAUAGAUUGUUUUUGGCUAUUGACUAACUCAUGGGUUGAACCUGCGGGCAAAAAAAUUGAAGGUGUAUAUCAAUUUAGACGGUGCGUGGUGAAUCAGGCUGCCUUCUUGAGAAGGAUUACAACUCCCAUGAUCCAAUAUGACAUCAGAUCGAAGUUUCGUUAAAUUUUAGAAAAUACGUGUUAUAAUUUUUAGCCGACAGACAAGCACAUAUUUAUUGUCUGAAAAAAAAACUACAGGCAAGAAAAUUGAAGGUCUAUAUCAGUUUGGAUGCGAAUCAGAGCGGUUUUCUUCACGAGGCUUAUGAGUCUUUAUGGCUAAUAUGGCAUCCACUUUUAUCGAAUCACAUGGAAGCUAAAAUUAAUUUCACCAUCAUCAAGUAUGAAUACUUCCGUUCCAAAAAACAAAAUUGCAUUAUUGUUUACCAUUAUGAUAACUUAUCUUGAAUUUCAUAAAGUGCAGCUGUUUUAUGAAAGUGCUCUGAUUGUGGGAAACUGUGUGUGUGAAGUGGAAUCCAGAAAAAUAAUUUAAUUAGUUAGGUUCUACCUUUAUUCUGCGAAAUAUAUAAAACGAACCAAAACUAAAAUGUUGAUUAUAAAUUGCAUAAAAGAUAAAAUAAACUAAUAGGUAUAACUAAAGAUAAAACACAGAAAAUAAUAACAAAACAAACUAGACGAAACAAUUCAUUAAAAACCACCUUAGCCUACCUAAAAAGUGAAUUUCUUAAUGAGGUUAAUAAGCUAUAGAUUCUUUAUGGCGAAUUUCCAAGUACCUAAAGUUGAUAAAGACUCUGACUCUAGACUUACAGAAUAAUUCAAAAGCUAAAAAAAAGAAAACGAGAAAAAAUAAGCGAUCAGUGAUUUAGUAUAUUUCAGUUUUCUUUCUUUUUUUUUUUUUUGUAUAAUAUGUGGGCCUUUAGAUUUACGUAUAUAACCAUUUAAUUUCCAACAUCAUCAAAUACUACUUAAAUUAGUUGGAUAGAAUUUUAUACUCACUGUUAGAUGAACUUCAUGACGCGGAGGUGCUGAAGGAGGAGGGAUGCUGAGUUCUUUAGCUUCUCCUUCGGACCAUGAUGAUGACAACAACUUCAAUUUGGCAUCUCCUUCAUUCUUUGUCGGCCAUAUUGAACAAUGAGGUACCUAACUGAAGAUUACUUACAAUAGCUCCUGAAUCGAGUUAAACGCAUAAUUAUAAGAAAUCAAAAUGAUGUUGCAUAUGCAUGUACAUACUUAGGUAAAUUAAUAGAUUUCCUUUUUCCAAGUAAGAUGAAGUGUAAAAAAAACUCUUACUGUUCUGGAUUCUAUACUCUUUCUAACAGUACAUACACCAUCAGACUGAUGAUGAUAUCAUAGUCCAUAAAAAUUAGAACAAUUAUGCCUCUCAUAAAAUAUAAAGGUUCUUUAUAUAUGUAAAAUGACCAAACACAGGUCUUUGAUUUUUAAUAACAAUGAAUAGGUACACAUUAAAAUUAAGCCGAGCUCCUGCCCUAUCAGGAUAUGGUAUAAAGGGAUGAGAAAAAUCGCAUUUCAUUCCUAAUCCUAUUGUUUCCCCAUCUGAAAAUUCAAAUUGUGGUUCCACUUUUGUAAAUCAAGGUUCCACCUCUUCAAAUUGUGGCAGUAUACCUCUGCACAUUAUGAUUUAAUUUCUUCAAAUUCUGGUUCAAUCUCUGAUAAUUGACUCUCUUGUAUAACAUUUUUAUCUGUAACAUGAAUUAAUUAAAAGAAAUAAAGAAAACGAAUUAGAGGUAAUUUUAUUCAAUAUUUUAACAAAUAUACACAUUUUAAAAUAAAAUAAACAAAUUACUAAAAAUAUUGUCCGUCUGAGAAUUUACUGUCGAAUAUUAUAUGCUGUGACACUUUAAAUAAGAAAAUUUACAGUAGCCUAAUAGGCAGGAGAGAAAAAUAUAUAACUCCGACACAAUCAAAAGGAAAUAAAAUCAGUCCAAUACGUUUUUCUAUUAAAUUAAGUAUAAAUAACAACAUAACAAGGCACACAAAAAUGAAUACCAUACCUACUUCAUUACUUUUCAAUAUUAUCAACUAGCAUUAUUCUCUCCAAAUUAUAAGACUACGAACAAAAACACAGCAGAUGAAAAAUAGGUACAAAUACAUACAACAACUAUCAUAGAGCAAAGAGUUGCAAUGGACAUAUUUUUUUGAUGUUUUUUGUAAAAGUUGAACUUCAGCAUGAGAUUCAGCUUAGACAAAUAUGAAGCUUUGCAAAAUUUAAGGAAACAAUGACUCCUGUUUUAAAUGGCAAAAUAUAGCCUUGCAUUUGUGAGGUAAAAUCUGGUCAUUACAUUAUUUAACACUCAUAAAAAUGAACUUGGAAGAAUUGCUCCCCACCCUCUCCCCAAUUCCUAAUGAACUUACUCAAUAACAGGGCCGGCGGAAGCCCAGGUGCUGGCCAGGAUUUUCACCAGGUGCAAUGCACCUGGCAAAAAUGUCAAAACAUAAACCUAUUUUUGUAUGUACAAGUACAAAUUUUAAAACAAAUCAAAAUCUCUCGAAUUUAAAAAUUAUAUAAAUUAAAAAAAAAAAAUGGAAUUUUUAUUUCUGUUGCAUACAAAGUACGAGUACAUAGUCCUGAAUUUUGACAAAAAAUUGGUGACGAAGUUUACUGAGAGGGAGAUUACCUACUUAGAAAAUCAGAUCUUUAGUGUUGAAAAAAAUACUUACCUAUGUUUUUAUACAAACCCCUUCUCAAAAUAAACCGUGAUGCAAGCAUUACAAAACUUUCCGAAUGUUGGGGAGCACUUGGCAUAAAAGCCGUUCAUAACAUCUGGAGCGCCUUCGCAUUCACUGCGCUAAGGAUAACAACUGGUUUUCUGUGACGUCAUUGACGUACCAUUGAAUAGGGAACGCCAUGAGUUUUCGCAACAAAAUGCUCGUAAUUUUUCCCCCAUUCUAGAUAGGAAUCUGAAAAGCUUAUUGUGACAUCCUCCAAUGGGACCUAUCAUUAGGUGCAAGUUUCAACUUAGUAUCUCAAUUAGGGUGUCUGCAAUCGUGUUCACAAACUUUUGUGCACAUACAAUGCACAUACAUACAUACCUACGUAAAUACAUACAUACAUACAUACAUACAAAACCGACCGAUUACAAUACUUUCCUUACAUCGCUGCGCGCUGUUUGGAAAGUAAAAAGGGCCAAGACUGAAUUAUGAUGAAUUGAAUUAUAUUUUUUUGGUUAUGUAAAUAGGUAUCCCUGUAUUGUUGUAUUGUUUUCAACCAUUUUUUUUCUCAAAAAUAAUAAAUUUCAAACAUUUUGGCGCUUUUAAAGUGAUGGAUGAGAGGUAGAUGAAACUAUUUUUUUCGGAGUUCCAGUUUUCGUUAUUGUAUUCUUUUAAACAUCAUUCAAUUCUUGUUGAAAAUUGACCUUACACGUCCCUGCCGAUUGAAUUUUCUCAAACUUGGAAAAACCUAUCAAAUGAAAUCUUAUCUAAUUGAGCAAUAGGGAUUUGACAAGACAACUGUCGCGCUCUAGGAAAUUGUAGUAAAAAACACGGGAACUAACGAAAGGUCCCGUUGUUAUCAGCAAUUUUCAACAAUUUUCCUUCAAUUUUCACAACAAUACAUUCCAAUGUUUAUUCGGGGACCUUUCAUCAGCCAAUCAGAAACAAGGCAACACUAGCGCGGCGACCCUCUGUCAAGUUCCUAUUUUUUAUAUCUUUGGAACGUGUCUCAUGCAUACUUGAAAAAGCUGUGAAAAAAUUAGUUUGAUCUCAAAAACCUAUCCAUUUUGGAAGAUAGAAAAUUUGAAAUUAUAUUUUGUAUUGAAUAAUUCUAAUCUAAAGGGGGAAAAACUGAUUUUUUUUAAAGCAGUUGAUUAUUGAUUCAGAAUAUAUAUUUGAAUAUUUCUAACUUUCAAAGACCUAAUCAUUUUAAGAUGUUUCAAAAACUCACUAAAAAUUAAAGGAUCAAUAGUUUUUUUUCAGCUAAAAAAAAUCCAGACUUCAAUUUGAAAAAUCAAUUCAAUUGAAACAUUUUCAGUUUUCUUUCCAGCUGUGCGUUUGUAUAGACAAUGCAGUGCUGAUUGCUGCAAUCUCACCACAUUUUUUUCACCCCCCCCCCCGCUAAUUCAAGAUUUUUGUGGUUUCUGUUUACCCCCCCCCCCUCCAAAUUAUUCACACUUUUCACCAAAUUACAAUAAUUUAGAGUUUGCACCUGGCGAGAAAUUGAAAAAGUGCCGGCCCUGCUCAAUGAACAAGUGGUAUAAAUAUUUCACUGAGAAAAUGUUAUUAUAAUUAUAAUGAUGGAAUCUGCCCUUAAGAAAAAACACGUACCUUUUCACUAGAUGGUAUGAGACAAAAUAUGAAACAGAGCCAAAAAUUUGAGGGCUGGAAAAUCUUCCAAACUUCAGAGUCAGGUUAGAUUAUUAAACUUUUUUGAGGGAUAGAUUUACAAAAAAAUAAAAAUACUUUUAACACCAUUACACAUUUUUUUUAAACAUUUUAUUUAACAAGGUUCAUUACAAUCUUAAGAAGACCUUAAAUAAGUAAUGCAUCUGACUUUAAACUUUAAACAAGUUAGUUACGUACAUGACAUGUGCAGGGUUCUCUCCAGUGAGAGUACUCUAUUUAUUUUUUAUAAUAUCUAUGCCCAAGUCGUGAGGUUUUAAAUGAUGAAUGUUUCUUUGCUUUGAGCUUAUUUUGUGAGUUUUCAACUUGAGAAAUUUUUUUAUCCAUUUUUUUAAAAGCAGUUCGCAAAUGUCUCUUGAGCUUGGCUGCUCUUCCAGCCCACUGGUUCAUCUGAUUCAUUGGUGUUAUUCUUUGGAAGGUUUCUUUUGACAAUUUUGGCUUGUUCAGGUUUCUGAGUUGUUAUCUGCUCCUGGCUUUAUGUGGUCCUUUGCUUGACACGAUCAGUACUGUCAUAUUUGGUUCAGAUAUAACAGCAAUUUUUGCUUGAUAUACUGGACACCUAAGUUAGCUGUAUGAUCACCAUUACAAAUUAGCACACUUGGCUAGGUCUUCUUUCUUCUUCCUACAUUGCUUUGUUUCAUGGUCAAAUCCACACUUGACACAUCUGGGUUUCCUUGCACAGUAUGUUUUGGUAUGACCAACUUGCUGGCAGUUUUUACAUUGAGGUAGCUCCCUCUUUUUUGCCGGAGGUUCUACCUUCACUUUAGUGUGCAACAAGAACCCCAUUUCAUAAAUGGUCUUGUUGUUUUCUUUUGGGCUAAAAUUAAAAAACAAAAUUUUUUGUUUUACCUAAACAGGUUUCAAAAUUCAAAAACUUUUAAAACAUGUUUAAAAGAGGCCAAACUUACUUGAAUUUAGGUUUAAAACAAUUUUUAAUUUUUUAUCUGAUACUGUAAUUGAUAUGAUUGUAUGGAAUAGAUAUUUCAUAAAUUGAAUUAUGAACGAUGUUGAUACACACAAAACAUACUAAUUAAUUAAUUAAAACUCAACGCAACAUCUUACAUUAACGUUGCAACAGUACUACCCCUACUUGACAGUAUUGUCUUUUUGUUGCAGUCUAACUUCGCCUCUGAGGCCAGCUCAAAGGGUGGCUGAGCAUGGUCCAGAGCUGAAAAUUAAAUAAUUAUGAAAAUUAAAUUUUUAAACUAUUUGUUUACAAUUACCCUACUUAGUUUUUAAAAACCAAGCUGAUUGUGAACACAAACAGAUUUUUAAAGAAAAUUAAGCAUUUUGAAAAAUUGCAAGUACCUAUGUAUUUGUAAUAUUGUAGAGUGUAAAAUUCUUUAACUGCUCAAAGUGACUAGUGAGUAAUUUUUCUUCAGGAAGUCAUGAUGAGGAAAUAGGUAUUCAAGAAAAACUGUUUGAAAAAACACCAGUGAAGAAACUGCCUUAAUUAAACAUCUGUGAGAAUAAAUUUUGGAAUUUUGAAAUUUUUACAGGCAUUUUUACUCGUAGAUUGCCAAGACUGACCUUAUUACAUGUACCUUAGUUUCAAUUAAUAGUGGGUACCAAUUGGGGUGGAAUUAUAUGAUUUAGUAGACCAUUAAGCGCCAAAUAUUACUGACAAUUUCUUGACGAGUGAGGUGAAGAAUAUUGAACUUGUUUGAGUGGGUAAAUCAUCAGUAGAUAAUGUAAGCUGUGUGAUUUGAAAUAUUAUUCUACAAAAUGUUGAAAAAAAAAAGUCUGCCGUCUAAGAAAAAAUAUUCCCUUUAAAACAUAAUACAAGUACAUUUGAAUAGUUUUACACACAAUGUUGUAAGAAAUAAAUUUAUAAUAAUCAAUACUGAUUGUAAUUUUACGUUUGUGUAGGUACUUAUCCAUUAGUUCGGUAUCUAUAAAAUUUAAAUUGUUUAUGGGUAGAUGUUUACUUCAGAUGCAAUAACAUGCAUCAUGUAGUCUAUAAAAUACUCAAUUUCAUUUGAUGCAGUUGGUAUAUUAUGAUGUGCAUUGUAAAAAAUAAAUAUUAAAUUUUUUUCGCUUUA